This 465-nucleotide ribosomal RNA is filed under the name uncultured bacterium. RNAcentral describes it as "partial 16S ribosomal RNA". It matches the Rfam family "Bacterial small subunit ribosomal RNA", at positions 28 to 507 of the family's 1533-position model. The record is from RNAcentral.
GACGAACGCUGGCGGCGUGCUUAACACAUGCAAGUCGAACGGAAAGGCCCUGCUUGCAGGGUACUCGAGUGGCGAACGGAUGAGUAACACGUGGGUGAUCUGCCCUGCACUUCGGGAUAAGCCUGGGAAACUGGGUCUAAUACCGGAUAGGAGCCAUUUUUAGUGUGAUGGUUGGAAAGUUUUUUCGGUGUAGGAUGAGCUCGCGGCCUAUCAGCUUGUUGGUGGGGUAAUGGCCUACCAAGGCGGCGACGGGUAGCCGGCCUGAGAGGGUGGACGGCCACAUUGGGACUGAGAUACGGCCCAGACUCCUACGGGAGGCAGCAGUGGGGAAUAUUGCACAAUGGGCGCAAGCCUGAUGCAGCGACGCCGCGUGGGGGAUGACGGCCUUCGGGUUGGAAACUCCUUUCGCUAGGGACGAAGCUUUUUGUGACGGUACCUAGAUAAGAAGCACCGGCUAACUACGUG